AUUUCUUCCAAAAUCUGGUGAUGUUAUUCCAGAUUUCUUCCAGAUUUCUCACCCCCCAAAAUCGAGAGAUGAUAUUCACGCGAUCCAAAUCUGUUCCAUAACUGAUCGAAGACGAUUCUGCCUUCUUUCAGCUCCAUAAUUUACAUCCGACUGCAAAUUGCAGACGACAUGGCAACUGAUUCGAUUAUCAGUUUUGAUUUGGAUGGGUUUUCCAGAAGUCCACCAUAUGGUCAAUUGCAGUUUCGGGAAACAGUUCUGCAAGCUGAUUGGUGUCCAUGAAGGAGAAGGUUGUGAAGUUGAUGGCGAAACCAUUGCGUCGGUGUGGAAAGUGCGGAGAAAUGUGUCCCGUGACUAUAAAUUUCGGCAGCCAAAAGGAAUAAGAGAACACUUAGUUCGUUUUGAAGUACUUGAAGAUUGUAGUCGUAUUUGUUUUUACCUUACCAGAUUGCAAGUUAAAGUCAUGAAUAUUACAUUGUUACCACGUAGUGUUUGCAGUUAACAUAUUACAUUAUUGAAUUUGUUCAUGUUGUUGUAACUCGAAAUGAUUGCAAAUUUGUUCUCACUGUAUUAUUUACUAUUGCUUUGUGGUGUGCA
This is a long non-coding RNA of Salvia hispanica, 594 nucleotides long. RefSeq lists it as uncharacterized. NCBI's taxonomy places the organism in Eukaryota, Viridiplantae, Streptophyta, Magnoliopsida, Lamiales, Lamiaceae. The record is from RefSeq and is a predicted model, not a curated record.